This 1077-nucleotide long non-coding RNA is filed under the name Betta splendens (Siamese fighting fish). RNAcentral's name for it is "lncRNA (ENSBSLG00000012546.1)". The record is from RNAcentral. Lineage: Eukaryota; Metazoa; Chordata; Actinopteri; Anabantiformes; Osphronemidae.
AUGGUCCAACCAUCCUGCCUUUGUCGAGUCCAUGAUCCAUCCAUUCUGCCUGUGUCCAGUCCAGUCUCUGGUCCAACAAUCUUGCCUGUGUUCAGUCUCUGGUCUAUCAUCCUGCGUGUGUCCAGUCUCUGGUCCAUCAUCCUGCCUGUGUCCAGUCUCUGGUCCAACCAUCUUGCCUGUGUCCAGUCUUUGGUCCAUCAUCCUGUCUGUGUCCAGUCUCUGGUCCAACCAUCUUGCCUGUGUCCAGUCUUUGGUCCAUCAUCCUGCCUGUGUCCAGUCUCUGGUCCAACCAUCCUGCCUGUGUCCAGUCCCUGUCCAAACAUCCUGCCGGUGUCCAGUCCAGUCUCUGGUCCAACCAUCCUGCCUGUGUCCAGUCUUUGGUCCAUCAUACUGCCUGUGUCCAGUCUCUGGUCCAACCAUCCUGCCUGUGUCCAGUCUUUGGUCCAUCAUCCUGCCUGUGUCCAGUCUCUGGUCCAACCAUCCUGCCUGUGUCUAGUCUCUGGUCCAACCAUCCUGCCUGUGUCCAGACUUUGGUCCAUCAUACUGCCUGUGUCCAGUCUCUGGUCCAACCAUCUUGCCUGUGUCCAGUCUUUGGUCCAUCAUCCUGUCUGUGUCCAGUCUCUGGUCCAACCAUCCUGCCUGUGUCCAGUCUUUGGUCCAUCAUCCUGCCUGUGUCCAGUCUCUGGUCCAUCCAUCCUGUGUCCAGUCUCUGGUCCAUCAUACUGCCUGUGUCCAGUCUCUGGUCCAACCAUCCUGCCUGUGUCUAGUCUCUGGUCCAACCAUCCUGCCUGUGUCCAGACUUUGGUCCAUCAUCCUGCCUGUGUCCAGUCUCUGGUCCAACCAUCCUGUGUCCAGUGUCUGGUCCAUCAUACUGCCUGUGUCCAGUCUCUGGUCCAACCAUCCUGCCUGUGUCUAGUCUCUGGUCCAACCAUCCUGCCUGUGUCUAGUCUCUGGUCCAACCAUCCUACCUGUGUCCAGUCUUUGGUCCAUCAUCCUGCCUGUGUCCAGUCUCUGGUCCAACCAUCCUGUGUCCAGUCUCUGGUCCAACCAUCCUGUGUCCAGUCUCUGGUCCAAUGA